RNAcentral lists this ribosomal RNA (586 nucleotides) under uncultured bacterium. Its description in RNAcentral is "partial 16S ribosomal RNA". It matches the Rfam family "Bacterial small subunit ribosomal RNA", at positions 355 to 1375 of the family's 1533-position model. The record is from RNAcentral.
UGGGGAAUUUUGGACAAUGGGCGAAAGCCUGAUCCAGCAAUGCCGCGUGUGUGAAGAAGGCCUUCGGGUUGUAAAGCACUUUUGUCCGGAAAGAAAUCCUUGGCUCUAAUACAGUCGGGGGAUGACGGUACCGGAAGAAUAAGCACCGGCUAACUACGUGCCAGCAGCCGCGGUAAUACGUAGGGUGCAAGCGUUAAUCGGAAUUACUGGGCGUAAAGCGUGCGCAGGCGGUUUGCUAAGACCGAUGUGAAAUCCCCGGGCUCAACCUGGGAACUGCGUUGGUGACUGGCAGGCUAGAGUAUGGCAGAGGGGGGUAGAAUUCCACGUGUAGCAGUGAAAUGCGUAGAGAUGUGGAGGAAUACCGAUGGCGAAGGCAGCCCCCUGGGCCAAUACUGACGCUCAUGCACGAAAGCGUGGGGAGCAAACAGGAUUAGAUACCCUGGUAGUCCACGCCCUAAAACGAUGUCAACUAGUUGUUGGGGAUUCAUUUCCUUAGUAACGUAGCUAACGCGUGAAGUUGACCGCCUGGGGAGUACGGUCGCAAGAUUAAAACUCAAAGGAAUUGACGGGGUCAUAGCUGUUUCCU